Long non-coding RNA from Cyprinus carpio carpio, 532 nucleotides. The record is from Ensembl. NCBI's taxonomy places the organism in Eukaryota, Metazoa, Chordata, Actinopteri, Cypriniformes, Cyprinidae.
CAGUGGUCUACACCACUUUCACGUUCUCCUCACAAUCAUGACAGUAGAUGUAGGAUCCACAGCUAGAUCAGCAACGGAAGAGGAGUGAAUGGUAGUGAUGUGACACAGCUGAUGCUGCAGGUCACGUGACAGUAACAUGACAGAUGUAUUCAGUUUGGACUUUAUCCACAGAUGUGAUGGACUGAGGACUGGCACAAGAUCCAUGUUUUGCCACCUACAAGUAUUACACUACCAACCACAUUUGCAUCCCAGCAGAAACAAAUGUGACUUGUCAGGAUGGAUUCAGUUACUUGAAAUUUGAUAAAUACUGCAAACUAUGGACGUACAGAUAAAACCACCUGCUCUAAACGACGUCCAUUCGAACAGCUCCAAAACACCAACUGCUCUUCACCCAAUGCACUGGCUCCUGUGUCCAAAAGCUGCAAUGGUCUGGAAAGUUGUGAGGUGUUUGCGACACAUACAGUCUUUACUGAUCGCUGCAUUGGCACAUACAAGUACCUCGCGAUCUCUUAUUUUUGUAGCCUACCUGCAG